CAGCAGCCGCGGUAAUACGUAGGGUGCGAGCGUUAUCCGGAUUUAUUGGGCGUAAAGGGCUCGUAGGCGGUUCGUCGCGUCCGGUGUGAAAGUCCAUCGCCUAACGGUGGAUCUGCGCCGGGUACGGGCGGGCUGGAGUGCGGUAGGGGAGACUGGAAUUCCCGGUGUAACGGUGGAAUGUGUAGAUAUCGGGAAGAACACCAAUGGCGAAGGCAGGUCUCUGGGCCGUCACUGACGCUGAGGAGCGAAAGCGUGGGGAGCGAACAGGAUUAGAUACCCUGGUAGUCCACGCCGUAAACGGUGGAUGCUGGAUGUGGGGCCCUUUCCACGGGUCCCGUGUCGGAGCCAACGCGUUAAGCAUCCCGCCUGGGGAGUACGGCCGCAAGGCUAAAACUCAAAGAAAUUGACGGGGGCCCGCACAAGCGGCGGAGCAUGCGGAUUAAUUCGAUGCAACGCGAAGAACCUUACCUGGGCUUGACAUGUGCCGGAUCGCCGUGGAGACACGGUUUCCCUUCGGGGCCGGUUCACAGGUGGUGCAUGGUCGUCGUCAGCUCGUGUCGUGAGAUGUUGGGUUAAGUCCCGCAACGAGCGCAACCCUCGCCGCAUGUUGCCAGCGGGUGAUGCCGGGAACUCAUGUGGGACCGCCGGGGUCAACUCGGAGGAAGGUGGGGAUGACGUCAGAUCAUCAUGCCCCUUACGUCCAGGGCUUCACGCAUGCUACAAUGGCCGGUACAACGCGGUGCGACACGGUGACGUGGGGCGGAUCGCUGAAAACCGGUCUCAGUUCGGAUCGCAGUCUGCAACUCGACUGCGUGAAGGCGGAGUCGCUAGUAAUCGCGGAUCAGCAACGCCGCGGUGAAUGCGUUCCCGGGCCUUGUACACACCGCCCGUCAAGUCAUGAAAGUGGGUAGCACCCGAAGCCGGUGGCCCGACCCUUGUGGGGGGAGCCGUCUAAGGUGAGACUCGUGAUUGGGACUAAGUCGUAACAAGGUAGCCGUACCGGAAGGUGCGGCUG
Molecule: ribosomal RNA, 1015 nt
Filed under: human gut metagenome
Description: bacterial SSU rRNA
Rfam family: Bacterial small subunit ribosomal RNA
Source: RNAcentral